This 486-nucleotide ribosomal RNA is filed under the name uncultured bacterium. Its description in RNAcentral is "partial 16S ribosomal RNA". It matches the Rfam family "Bacterial small subunit ribosomal RNA", at positions 30 to 507 of the family's 1533-position model. The record is from RNAcentral.
CUUGAACGCUGGCGGCAUGCCUUACACAUGCAAGUCGAACGGCAGCGCGGGCUUCGGUCUGGCGGCGAGUGGCGAACGGGUGAGUAAUACAUCGGAACGUACCCUGUUGUGGGGGAUAACUAGUCGAAAGAUUAGCUAAUACCGCAUACGACCUGAGGGUGAAAGUGGGGGACCGGAAACGGCCUCAUGCAGCAGGAGCGGCCGAUGUCUGAUUAGCUAGUUGGUGGGGUAAAGGCCCACCAAGGCGACGAUCAGUAGCUGGUCUGAGAGGACGAUCAGCCACACUGGGACUGAGACACGGCCCAGACUCCUACGGGAGGCAGCAGUGGGGAAUUUUGGACAAUGGGGGCAACCCUGAUCCAGCAAUGCCGCGUGUGUGAAGAAGGCCUUCGGGUUGUAAAGCACUUUUGUCCGGAAAGAAAUCGCGCUGGUUAAUACCUGGCGUGGAUGACGGUACCGGAAGAAUAAGCACCGGCUAACUACGUG